This is a long non-coding RNA of Neodiprion fabricii, 265 nucleotides long. RefSeq lists it as uncharacterized. The record is from RefSeq and is a predicted model, not a curated record. The transcript is spliced from 3 exons. Lineage: Eukaryota; Metazoa; Arthropoda; Insecta; Hymenoptera; Diprionidae.
CUAACCCAAUCAAUCGAUCUUUGACAACGAACUAGAAAUUAAAUCACAAGCUAUGCAGUGAAUAAAACUGAAAGUGUGAAAAGUGUGUCAUCACCAUACAACCUGAGAUGCUACGAGAACUACUACAUGUAAAGUGUGGAGCAACCUGGAGGAGAGUUAAGCAGAGACAUCCGAGUAACUUCUCCAUUACUCAGCAACGUUGGUGAGUUUGCAUGUCUUAGGUUACGGGUAUUUCCCUGGGACUCCUUUAUCAUGUGGCGUGGCG